GUCCGUCAGUGCGGCGUUAACGGGCGUUACGUUGACCGUAAUAGACGGUGUAUAUGCGCACCAACCGGCAACCCAGCCUCAUUUUACUGUGUCAGGGAUGCUCUUAAAGGGGCAGUUCACCGGUUCUACCCACACAGAGAAGUAAAGGCGAGAGACGAAGAUCCUGAGGCGGAGAUUGGGCGUUUUGCUGAGGAACUGGGACAGUGUGACGGAGCAGUUGACGCAGGGAGACCAGGAGCAGAACCAGGUGAUGGAGUAACUGAGCCUUUUCUCUCCGGGGCCUCCCUGCCCCCACAAACCAGGGCACAAGGCUCCCAGGCACUUCUCAUAUGCUCCCCCAUCUUGACCCACAUAACUCACCUCUACAUGGCAGCCAUUGCGAUUGCGGAGGUGUCCAAAGUCAAAAGUUAAGGAGUCUGGCCCCACUCGCCUCUUCACUACGAAGCAGAGAGCCCCUCCUGAGACAGCAGCCUGUUAUUUCCACUGCCCCCCCACCCACCUCCUUCUCUCUUUUUUUCACUCCUUCUCUCCCUCUCCAGGGUGAAGGAAAGAGUGAGGAGUGAGAGACGGAUAGGAGCAGGAGAGAGGUGUUGUCCAGACCAGAAGGGGCCUCUGAAAGUGUUGCAUAGAAACAACCUAACUAUACCUUUCCUAACCUAAACCUGUCCUUUCCUAAACCUACACCAAGCUGACGGUCGGCCAUCGGAGAGUCAGCAUGUUGAAUCGGCGGUGGAGCCCGUCGGUGAGAGAAAUCACUCUGAUUGGCGGUUCAGCUUAAACUAAUCAGUGCACAAGAAGAGAA
Sebastes umbrosus (honeycomb rockfish) is the source of this 802-nucleotide long non-coding RNA. RefSeq lists it as uncharacterized. The transcript has 5 exons. The record is from RefSeq and is a predicted model, not a curated record. Lineage: Eukaryota; Metazoa; Chordata; Actinopteri; Perciformes; Sebastidae.